ACGUACACUCCUACGGGAGGCAGCAGUGGGGAAUAUUGCACAAUGGGCGCAAGCCUGAUGCAGCCAUGCCGCGUGUAUGAAGAAGGCCUUCGGGUUGUAAAGUACUUUCAGCGGGGAGGAAGGCAAUACGGUUAAUAACCGUGUUGAUUGACGUUACCCGCAGAAGAAGCACCGGCUAACUCCGUGCCAGCAGCCGCGGGAAUACGGAGGGUGCAAGCGUUAAUCGGAAUUACUGGGCGUAAAGCGCACGCAGGCGGUCUGUCAAGUCGGAUGUGAAAUCCCCGGGCUCAACCUGGGAACUGCAUUCGAAACUGGCAGGCUUGAGUCGUGUAGAGGGGGGUAGAAUUCCAGGUGUAGCGGUGAAAUGCGUAGAGAUCUGGAGGAAUACCGGUGGCGAAGGCGGCCCCCUGGACAAAGACUGACGCUCAGGUGCGAAAGCGUGGGGAGCAAACAGGAUUAGAAACCCGUGUAGUCCCAU
RNAcentral lists this ribosomal RNA (478 nucleotides) under uncultured organism. Its description in RNAcentral is "partial 16S ribosomal RNA". It matches the Rfam family "Bacterial small subunit ribosomal RNA", at positions 329 to 798 of the family's 1533-position model. The record is from RNAcentral.